RNAcentral lists this ribosomal RNA (276 nucleotides) under uncultured bacterium. Its description in RNAcentral is "partial 16S ribosomal RNA". It matches the Rfam family "Bacterial small subunit ribosomal RNA", at positions 78 to 353 of the family's 1533-position model. The record is from RNAcentral.
UCUAAGUUUGAUGGCGACCGGCGCACGGGUGAGUAACACGUAUCCAACCUGCCGAUGACUCGGGGAUAGCCUUUCGAAAGAAAGAUUAAUACCCGAUGGCAUAGUUCUUCCGCAUGGUAGAACUAUUAAAGAAUUUCGGUCAUCGAUGGGGAUGCGUUCCAUUAGGUUGUUGGCGGGGUAACGGCCCACCAAGCCUUCGAUGGAUAGGGGUUCUGAGAGGAAGGUCCCCCACAUUGGAACUGAGACACGGCCCAAACUCCUACGGGAGGCAGCAUG